AGUGAACGCUGGCGGUAGGCCUGACACAUGCAAGUCGAACGGCAGCACAGUAAGAGCUUGCUCUUACGGGUGGCGAGUGGCGGACGGGUGAGGAAUACAUCGGAGUCUACUUUUUCGUGGGGGAUAACGUAGGGAAACUUACGCUAAUACCGCAUACGACCUACGGGUGAAAGCAGGGGAUCUUCGGACCUUGCGCGAUUGAAUGAGCCGAUGUCGGAUUAGCUAGUUGGCGGGGUAAAGGCCCACCAAGGCGACGAUCCGUAGCUGGUCUGAGAGGAUGAUCAGCCACACUGGAACUGAGACACGGUCCAGACUCCUACGGGAGGCAGCAGUGGGGAAUAUUGGACAAUGGGCGCAAGCCUGAUCCAGCCAUACCGCGUGGGUGAAGAAGGCCUUCGGGUUGUAAAGCCCUUUUGUUGGGAAAGAAAAGCAGCAGGUUAAUACCCCGCUGUUCUGACGGUACCCAAAGAAUAAGCACCGGCUAACUUCGUG
This 492-nucleotide ribosomal RNA is filed under the name uncultured bacterium. RNAcentral's name for it is "partial 16S ribosomal RNA". It matches the Rfam family "Bacterial small subunit ribosomal RNA", at positions 29 to 507 of the family's 1533-position model. The record is from RNAcentral.